GUGGGGAAUCUUCCGCAAUGGGCGCAAGCCUGACGGAGCAACGCCGCGUGAGGGAAGAAGGCUUUCGGGUUGUAAACCUCUGUCCUUGGUGACGAAACAAAUGACGGUAGCCAAGGAGGAAGCCCCGGCUAACUACGUGCCAGCAGCCGCGGUAAUACGUAGGGGGCGAGCGUUGUCCGGAAUUACUGGGCGUAAAGGGUGCGUAGGUGGCCUUUUAAGUUGGAUGUGAAAUACCUGGGCUUAACUUGGGGGGUGCAUCCAAAACUGGGAGGCUAGAGUGCAGGAGAGGAAAGCGGAAUUCCUAGUGUAGCGGUGAAAUGCGUAGAUAUUAGGAGGAACACCAGUGGCGAAGGCGGCUUUCUGGACUGUAACUGACACUGAGGCACGAAAGCGUGGGGAGCAAACAGGAUUAGAAACCCCUGUAGUCC
Molecule: ribosomal RNA, 428 nt
Filed under: uncultured bacterium
Lineage: Bacteria
Description: partial 16S ribosomal RNA
Rfam family: Bacterial small subunit ribosomal RNA
Source: RNAcentral